CGCUAUCACUCCUACGGGGAGGCAGCAGUAGGGAAUCUUCCAACAAUGGGCGCAAGCCUGAUGGAGCAACACCGCGUGAGUGAAGAAGGGUUUCGGCUCGUAAAGCUCUGUUGUUAAAGAAGAACACGUAUGAGAGUAACUGUUCAUACGUUGACGGUAUUUAACCAGAAAGUCACGGCUAACUACGUGCCAGCAGCCGCGGUAAUACGUAGGUGGCAAGCGUUAUCCGGAUUUAUUGGGCGUAAAGAGAGUGCAGGCGGUUUUCUAAGUCUGAUGUGAAAGCCUUCGGCUUAACCGGAGAAGUGCAUCGGAAACUGGAUAACUUGAGUGCAGAAGAGGGUAGUGGAACUCCAUGUGUAGCGGUGGAAUGCGUAGAUAUAUGGAAGAACACUAGUGGCGAAGGCGGCUACCUGGUCUGCAACUGACGCUGAGACUCGAAAGCAUGGGUAGCGAACAGGAUUAGAUACCCUGGUAG
RNAcentral lists this ribosomal RNA (475 nucleotides) under uncultured bacterium. Its description in RNAcentral is "bacterial SSU rRNA". It matches the Rfam family "Bacterial small subunit ribosomal RNA", at positions 328 to 793 of the family's 1533-position model. The record is from RNAcentral.